Molecule: ribosomal RNA, 465 nt
Filed under: Vreelandella stevensii
Lineage: Bacteria; Pseudomonadati; Pseudomonadota; Gammaproteobacteria; Oceanospirillales; Halomonadaceae
Description: partial 16S ribosomal RNA
Rfam family: Bacterial small subunit ribosomal RNA
Source: RNAcentral
CCUACGGGGGGCUGCAGUGGGGAAUAUUGGACAAUGGGGGGAACCCUGAUCCAGCCAUGCCGCGUGUGUGAAGAAGGCCCUCGGGUUGUAAAGCACUUUCAGUGAGGAAGAACGCCUGGUGGUUAAUACCCAUCAGGAAAGACAUCACUCACAGAAGAAGCACCGGCUAACUCCGUGCCAGCAGCCGCGGUAAUACGGAGGGUGCGAGCGUUAAUCGGAAUUACUGGGCGUAAAGCGCGCGUAGGUGGCUUGAUAAGCCGGUUGUGAAAGCCCCGGGCUCAACCUGGGAACGGCAUCCGGAACUGUCAAGCUAGAGUGCAGGAGAGGAAGGUAGAAUUCCCGGUGUAGCGGUGAAAUGCGUAGAGAUCGGGAGGAAUACCAGUGGCGAAGGCGGCCUUCUGGACUGACACUGACACUGAGGUGCGAAAGCGUGGGUAGCAAACAGGAUUAGAUACCUCUGUAGUC